This is a long non-coding RNA of Balaenoptera musculus (blue whale), 2411 nucleotides long. RefSeq lists it as uncharacterized. The record is from RefSeq and is a predicted model, not a curated record. The transcript is spliced from 2 exons. NCBI's taxonomy places the organism in Eukaryota, Metazoa, Chordata, Mammalia, Artiodactyla, Balaenopteridae.
UGGAGGCUGGCUACCAGAAGAGCUUAAGAAGAACCUGAGGACUUAACCUAAAAUUGUAAACUGUUAAAUGACAAACGAUUUCUGAAGAUAAAAUAAGCUACGAUUAUUUGGACUGUGGAAAAUGAGUUGCUGUGAUCUUCAAAGUACAUGAAGCACUACCAGAGAUUUAAGUGCCUCUGCGUGUCAGGUGCCAUGGUACAAAGACCCCUCAAGAUACUCCUAGUCCAAGAAUCUCUGCAUUGAGAGGUAUGAGCUGAACUCUUCCAAUGAGAAUCCAGUGCAUAGAAAAAUCUGGCUAAACUGAAAUUAAAUUCAUUAUAGUGUAAUUUGCAAGUCAUACAAAUAGAGUCUUUAUUUCUGGACAAUCGAUUUGUGCCUAAUUUUAAAGUUCAUUUCAGCCCUCCGUUGCUUUCACAGUCUCAAUGGUCAUAAAGAUGUAUCUGAUUUCAAGGAAAUACUUGAGCGUAUUCCAGAAAUUACAUCUACCAAAGCAUUAAUUCAGUCAUCUUAGUUUCACAUCAUCAAACACAAUUUGAGUUGACAUAUAUAUUUAAGACAGACAACACAAUAAUUCAUUGAACAAGCACUUAAGUACUGACCAUAUCACACAUGUGAUGGACAUUAGAAAUAUAGGAGUGUACAAGACAGACAUAGUUCCUUAUGUUCCAGUAGGAAACAGACUGAAAGAGAAAUGAACAUGUAUAAUUGCAAAUUAUGCUAAAUAAAGUACACUGACAACAGAAAGUCCAGCUUUAGGGCAGUCAGGAAAGACCUCCUACAAGAUGACGAUUAAGCCAGAAAGAGAGGCUCUGAGGUAGCCAACAGGGAGUGAGGAAAACGAAGAAUAUUCCCUUCAGAGGAAAUUGUGCGAGCAGGCGAGAACUUGGUGGAAAUAAAGGCUUAUAAAACAGGAUGGAGAGGUAUGCAGUGGCUUCAUAGGUGAAGGUAUGGGCUUUGGAUUUUAUUUUAAUUCAACAGCAAUUGAUUGAAGUUUUAUUAAUGUAAUUUAUAUUUAACUUUUUAUUAAUGGGGACUUAUAGAGACAUACAAAGGUAAGCAGAAUAGUAUAAAGAACCCCCAUCACCCAAUUUCAACAAUUGUUUCAUCUGUAUCCCCACCAACUCUUCCCCUACUAGACUAUUUGGAAGCAAAUCCCAGAUAAAAGAUUUCAUAUGAAAUAUUCCCAUAUAUAUCUUUAAAACAUAAGGACUUCAGAAAAUUAUCUCACCAAGAAACUAUUAAUUCCAAAUGUCCUCCAUUAUUUUGUGUUUUAUUUCCACUUUGAUCUUAUUAAGAUCCAAGUAAGGCCCAUACAGUGCAAUUGGUUGAUAUACAUCUGAUUCCGUCGUGUUUCCUAACCCUCCCUUCUUGUUUGUUGUUGCCUUGCAAUUUAUUUACUGAAGAAACCAGAUGAUUUGUCCUGUCUCCCACAUUCUUCACUUUACUGAUUGCAAUUUGACAUGUUUCCUUGUAUUUUGUAUUUCUCAUAAACUGAUUUAGAGGGCCAGUCAGAUUAAGGUGUGAUUUUUUGGGGGGGGGGCAAUACUUUAUAUAUUGUUAGGUACUUCCAAACCUCCAGUUAUCUUAUGAUAUUAACUGCCAUUGAUGAUCAUUGCCUAGAUACAGUAUCUCACUGGGGUUGCAAAGUGGUGAUACUCUCAUUUAUUAGCUGAAAUAUUUCUAUAUACUUCCAUUCAUCAGUAAUUUGGUUACCCUGAGGUUGUUUCUAUUAAAAGGGCAGGAUAAAUGCUUGAUUCUUUCCCUUCACUCACUAGUUAGUAUAUAAAAUAAGGAACUGGUUUAACAGUAUCCUCCAAAGGUGGUUUUGAGGGGGUUUAUUCUAGUAUCAUUAUGAAUUAAUGAAUUUUAAUACAGUUUGUUCAACUCAUUGCCAGUCCUUCUCAAAGAGAGUCUAAUUGUCUUACCUUUGUGAUUUACAUUUUAAAAACACUGGUUCUGCAGCUGGUGGAAAAUAGCUUAAAUGAGAACAAGAGUUGAUGGGAAGGCAAGUUAGUUUACUGUAGUGGUCUUGGAGAAAGACAGUGGUAAUCCAACAUACCUUCCACCAGGGUGAAGGCAGUAAAGCUGCUGAUGGAUUGGAUAUGAAGAGAGAGGAAAAAGGAGUAACUGAAACUAGAGGCUUGAGCAACUGCAUCUCCAACCUGGCUGCUCCUGAAAAACACUGGACACCUUUUGUUUCAUUGGCCCAGAAGAGGGAAAAACUUCUGUUAUAUGACUAUGCUGCGAUACCGUGAUGUAUUCAGGGUCAACAUCCCUUUAGAGGUAAGGGCUCCAGACACCUAUACUAAGCCACUCAACUCUUGUGAUUUACUUAUUCUGUGUUCACUUUUAAGUUUUUGAAGUUUCUUGAUGUCCAGUCUAUCAGCUACCACUGCUCACUACUGUCUGCC